RNAcentral lists this non-coding RNA (21 nucleotides) under Caenorhabditis elegans. Lineage: Eukaryota; Metazoa; Nematoda; Chromadorea; Rhabditida; Rhabditidae. The record is from RNAcentral.
UCUAGCAGUAUAAAGCAAAUU